RNAcentral lists this ribosomal RNA (418 nucleotides) under uncultured bacterium. RNAcentral's name for it is "bacterial SSU rRNA". It matches the Rfam family "Bacterial small subunit ribosomal RNA", at positions 29 to 446 of the family's 1533-position model. The record is from RNAcentral.
AUUGAACGCUGGCGGCGUGCUUAACACAUGCAAGUCGAUCGGUAACAGGUGUAGCAAUACAUGCUGACGAGAGGCGGACGGGUGAGUAAUGCUUGGGAAUCUGCCUAUUAGUGGGGGACAACCCGGGGAAACUCGGGCUAAUACCGCAUACGCUCUACGGAGGAAAGCCGGGGACCGCAAGGCCUGGCGCUAAUAGAUGAGCCCAAGUCGGAUUAGCUAGUUGGUAGGGUAACGGCCUACCAAGGCGACAAUCCGUAGCUGGUCUGAGAGGACGACCAGCCACACCGGAACUGAGACACGGUCCGGACUCCUACGGGAGGCAGCAGUGGGGAAUAUUGGACAAUGGGGGCAACCCUGAUCCAGCGACGCCGCGUGGGUGAAGAAGGCCUGCGGGUUGUAAAGCCCUUUCGGUGGGGAA